This is a long non-coding RNA of Homo sapiens (human), 1383 nucleotides long. RefSeq lists it as uncharacterized. The record is from RefSeq and is a predicted model, not a curated record. NCBI's taxonomy places the organism in Eukaryota, Metazoa, Chordata, Mammalia, Primates, Hominidae. The transcript is spliced from 6 exons.
CCUGUGGUGCCAGGCUGGAAUGGUCUGCUUGGGGACCUAGCCAGCUCCCACGGCCUUUCUGCUGCUUCCUCUACCCCCGUAUUUUGCUCAGCUCUCGAAAUUGACUCAGCAGCAUUAUUCACAAUAACCAAGAGAUGGAAGCAAUACAAAUGUCUAUCAACAGAUGAACAGACCAAGAAAAUGUGAUACACUCACACGACGGGACACCAUUCUGUCUUAAAAAGGAAGAAUAUAUGCUCCAUGAGAGAAAGGACAGAAGCCUCACCUCGCAGGUGUCCCAGGACCAAUAAUGGCAGAACACUGAAACCCUCUACAUCUUGCAAGAUUUCUUCACUUUCUGAGCCUCUGAUUUCUCAUCUAUAGGACAAGUAUAAUUAUACACAGUGGCGUGCUGGCCUCAUGUGGAACCAAAAAAGGAUGUAAAGGAGCUGGCAGUUCUGUGGCCUGGAUAGUUAAAGACAGAUACUUUCCCAAGUCUUGAAAAAACAAAGCCUUAAGUUGAUGGGAACCGAAAUAUCUCAAACUAAGUCAGCCUGGUAGAGCCACUUGAUCCAGCCAGCUGAAAUGCAGAUGGAGGACUCUGAAGACUGGUGCGAGCAGUCACUUUUAUUUUUAACAGAAAAUGUAUACAACCAAGUCUGAAGGUUAGACAAAUCUGAAAGACAGGUAACGGUAGAAAAGAGCAAGAAACAGGAGAUCCACAAAGUUUUAGAAACAAGAGAAAAUCAUGCUCUGGAAAUAGGGGAGGGUGACUGUUCUUAAUGUGGUGUGUGUGUAACUACAUGCGCAUAUGCGCACACAUACAUGCUCAAAAUGUAACAGUUGAGAUCAUCAAUCGGUAGUGAUCAAUUAAUGCACUUUUCCUUUAGAUAAUACAAGGAGGAGACUUUCUUCACUUCUUUAAAUAAUGAAAAGAGAAAACAAUUCAAGUUGUUCAUGCAUCACUAGGAUUUAAGUAGAACUCCACACAACUAAGAAAUAUGGGGGGGAAAUAUGGUAGCACAGUUUGCUGUUACCACUAAUUACCCUGCAGUAUAGCUCCAAGAAUGUUCCUCUGCUUUUAUAAAACUGUUUUCUUUUGAAGUCUUAGAAAAUAAUUCAGUCAAUAACUAACCCCAUAUACAUGCAGAGAAUAAUGGCAAAAUCUAUAGCUACGAAAGGGACUGUUAUGAGGGAGAAAUGCACAAUAUAAUUCUAAAGAGAUGAAGAAUUUAUUUAUCAAGCGUGUUAAAGGCACAGUGUCUCCACCUACUGUAGAGUAGGAGGAUUCAAAUCUUCAGUGUCUUGGUGUUUGGUCUUUUUCCUGUGAAUUUUCUUCCUCUCUCUGAGUGUGUCCUUCAGAGGAAGACGCCCUUGUGUACAUUGCAGGAAUGCCACACCCUU